RNAcentral lists this ribosomal RNA (160 nucleotides) under uncultured bacterium. Its description in RNAcentral is "partial 16S ribosomal RNA". The record is from RNAcentral.
CACGGAGUUAGCCGGGGCUCCUUCUCUCGGUACCGUCACUCCCCUGGUGAUUAGCCCAGGGGCCAUUCGUCUCGAUCGAAAGGAGUUUACGACCCGAAGAUCUUCAUCCUCCACGCGGCGUUGCGUCGUCAGGCUUGCGCCCAUUGCGAACAAUUCCCUA